RNAcentral lists this ribosomal RNA (381 nucleotides) under Escherichia coli. RNAcentral describes it as "partial 23S ribosomal RNA". It matches the Rfam family "Bacterial large subunit ribosomal RNA", at positions 2025 to 2405 of the family's 2925-position model. The record is from RNAcentral. Lineage: Bacteria; Pseudomonadati; Pseudomonadota; Gammaproteobacteria; Enterobacterales; Enterobacteriaceae.
GCCGAGACUCAGUGAAGUUGAAAUUGCGGUGAAGAUGCCGUAUACCCGCGGCUAGACGGAAAGACCCCGUGAACCUUUACUAUAGCUUGGCACUGAACAUUGACCCUACAUGUGUAGGAUAGGUGGGAGACUAUGAAGUUGGAACGCUAGUUCUGAUGGAGUCGUCCUUGAAAUACCACCCUUGUAGUGUUGAUGUUCUAACUUGGCCCCAUUAUCUGGGGUAAGGACAGUGCCUGGUGGGUAGUUUGACUGGGGCGGUCUCCUCCCAAAGAGUAACGGAGGAGCACGAAGGUUGGCUAAGUACGGUCGGACAUCGUACGGUUAGUGCAAUGGCAUAAGCCAGCUUAACUGCGAGACAGACACGUCGAGCAGGUACGAAAG